This 49-nucleotide small RNA is filed under the name Arabidopsis thaliana (thale cress). Its description in RNAcentral is "ATSL006210". The record is from RNAcentral. Lineage: Eukaryota; Viridiplantae; Streptophyta; Magnoliopsida; Brassicales; Brassicaceae.
AUGUGAACUGAUAAACAGAAACACAAUUAAAAAAAAAAGGCAAAAAAAA